This 495-nucleotide ribosomal RNA is filed under the name uncultured bacterium. RNAcentral describes it as "partial 16S ribosomal RNA". It matches the Rfam family "Bacterial small subunit ribosomal RNA", at positions 28 to 507 of the family's 1533-position model. The record is from RNAcentral.
GACGAACGCUGGCGGCGUGCCUAAUACAUGCAAGUAGAACGCUGAAGGAGGAGCUUGCUUCUCUGGAUGAGUUGCGAACGGGUGAGUAACGCGUAGGUAACCUGCCUGGUAGCGGUGGAUAACUAUUGGAAACGAUAGCUAAUACCGCAUAACAGUAGAUAUCGCAUGAUAUCUACUUGAAAGGUGCAAUUGCAUCACUACCAGAUGGACCUGCGUUGUAUUGGCUAGUUGGUGAGGUAACGGCUCACCAAGGCGACGAUACAUAGCCGACCGGCGAGGGGGGUCGGCCACACUGGGACUGUGACACGGCCCAGACUCCUAGGGGAGGCAGCAGUAGGGAUUCUUCGGCAAGGGGCGGAAUUCUGACCGAGCAACGCCGCGGGAGUGAAGAAGGUUUUCGGAUCGUAAAGCUCUGUUGUAGGAGAGGAACGAGUGUGAGAGUGGAAAGUUCACACUGUGACGGUAUCUUACCAGAAAGGGACGGCUAACUACGUG